UUCGUUAAAAGCUAUUAAAUUCUAUCCAUAAACAAUACAACUUCACUACUUCCAACUUCCAAUGUCAUCAAUGAUUUUUCUUCUACGAGUCCCAAUUCAUCUCAUCAUCAAUUUUCUAGAUAAUUAAAUUGAAUUUUUUGUUGAUUUAUGCUGAUUCCGGAUGAAUUCAAUAAUAUAAAUUGUACCAAUUUCUUCUCCAAUUUCACACAGAUUUUGAUUUGUUACAAAAGGGUAUAUUUAUAGAAUCAGGUUUUUCGAAUGGCUCCCAGAGGACCUGAUUCAUCUCAUCAUCAUCAUCAACCGGUGUUGUUGCUCCAUUGAUUAUAAUUGAUAAAGAGAUUAUUUCAUUUCAUUUUAUAUCGGGGUAGAUUUGCAAUGAAAAGAUUUUAGGGUUUUAGAUUUACAAAGUAAUCCCCUUUUUAAUUCUCUAUGAUUACUUUGUAUUUUAGAUUUUUGAAUUUUAGGGUUUUGUAUAAAAUUUGUCAAUUCUGUUAGAAUUUUUUAUUUUUUAUUUGCUACAACUUCUGCUGAUCUUUGUAACUUAAUUCUUCAUUGUGGUUGAUGAUAUUUUGAAUCAUGUAUUGUGUUACCUAAUUUUUUCCAUAUAUUUUUAAUUACUUCUUAUGUUUAUGUUUCUUUAUACAUGACAGAGGUUUCAUUUUUUUCCUUAUACUCUGUUUUUUCUACUACCACAGAGACAAAACUUGAUCUGAGAUUUUUAUAUAUUUUCAAGGUGUGGAGACGUUGAAAGCAGAAAUCUAGUGAGGAGAAAAAGGAUGAGAAAAAAACCAGUGAUAUAGAGUCGCUUACUACUUCUGUGUUGAAAAUGUUGUUGCACUGCCAAGGACGCAUUUAAAAAAUUGGCAAGAAUGUGUUGAAAAUCUAAGUAGUUGAAUUGACUAUUGAUAAAAAGAAAUGAAGAAGGAUACUAAAAGGUAUAAUAGAUGUGAAAAAGUUGGUUGAGAAUUUGACAGAGAAGUUUACCGAAAUCUGUUACAUAUUCAUAUGCAUACUCAACCCCCACAAAUUUUCCAGUGAUGAGAAUCAUAAUAUUUGCAAUGUCAUGUGAUGUGAGUUACAGUAUUAUCAUAAUGUCUGAACUUAAUUUUAUUCAAUUCAGUCUGAUGUCUGAACUUAAUUUUAAUUCAAUAUGAUGGUGAUUCCAUGAGGCAGGGGAACAAAAUGAGUGGUUAGUGAGUAACUAGAGUAUUUUCUAUUAUUUUUUAUUUUAAAAAUGUAUUAUGCUAUGUAAAGUUAAAUUUUUUGUUGAAUAUAUUUAAAGAAUACUGUUCACAUGUUUUA
Long non-coding RNA from Vicia villosa (hairy vetch), 1302 nucleotides. RefSeq lists it as uncharacterized. NCBI's taxonomy places the organism in Eukaryota, Viridiplantae, Streptophyta, Magnoliopsida, Fabales, Fabaceae. The transcript is spliced from 3 exons. The record is from RefSeq and is a predicted model, not a curated record.